Long non-coding RNA from Mercurialis annua (annual mercury), 552 nucleotides. RefSeq lists it as uncharacterized. The record is from RefSeq and is a predicted model, not a curated record. NCBI's taxonomy places the organism in Eukaryota, Viridiplantae, Streptophyta, Magnoliopsida, Malpighiales, Euphorbiaceae. The transcript is spliced from 3 exons.
AACAAUCCAGAGCAUUCUAUUUUUGGUCAUCUUCACCAUUUCAGUCAAGUGCAAGUCAUGGAGAAAGCUUGAGAUUUUCAAAGUUUAAAACUCUAGUUGAUUAUCCUCUACCUAUUGAAAUCUUCAUCUAGCAUCAAUUGGGAGCUUUAAAGUAAGAUUCUACACGUGGACGGAUUGGAGAAUUAGAAGAAUUGGAGUUAAUCAACGGGCUAGUUUAUAUUUUGCAAUUGGAAAAUUUGGAUUUAAGCGAUUGAGGCGUUCAGUAGAUAGCGAUCAGGUCGAGCCUCCACUCCUUGUUUCGGAAGGCUCCUUACGUUUUGCGUGUACAGCUUCUGACUCUCUAGCGCUGCAGUAGUUAAGGCGUUUACUUUUGUCGAGGUCCUAUUAGCGGUUUAUUGUAUUUUGGGUUUAGUAACCGCUCAUGUCUAUAUCUUUUUGUUAGGCCUCGUUUUCUGAUUAACAAACAAACAUCAGAGGUAGCUUUAGUUUAAAACGCUUAAUAUGUGUAUUUUGUAAAUGCUUAGAAUGAUACUUAGCAAUAUUUAUAUAUAU